Molecule: small nuclear RNA, 19 nt
Filed under: Arabidopsis thaliana (thale cress)
Lineage: Eukaryota; Viridiplantae; Streptophyta; Magnoliopsida; Brassicales; Brassicaceae
Description: snRNA_18976
Source: RNAcentral
GGACCCGGACAGUCUAAAA